Non-coding RNA from Schistosoma rodhaini, 45 nucleotides. The record is from Rfam. Lineage: Eukaryota; Metazoa; Platyhelminthes; Trematoda; Strigeidida; Schistosomatidae.
AUCCAGCUGACGAGUCUCAAACAGGACGAAACGCCAAUCCUGGAU